AUACUUAACUUGCAGGGGAGAUAUCAUGAUCACAAAGGUGGUUUUCCCAGGACAAGGCUUAUCCAUUGCACUCUAAAUGUGCUGACUUCUGUGAUUUCCCCAAAUGUGGAAAAAUCGACUGCAUAAUUUGUGGUAGUGGGGAACUGCAUUCAUAUUUUGCCCUA
Molecule: small nuclear RNA, 164 nt
Organism: Cavia aperea (Brazilian guinea pig)
Lineage: Eukaryota; Metazoa; Chordata; Mammalia; Rodentia; Caviidae
Gene: U1
Rfam family: U1 spliceosomal RNA
About the family: U1 is a small nuclear RNA (snRNA) component of the spliceosome (involved in pre-mRNA splicing).
Source: Ensembl